This 373-nucleotide ribosomal RNA is filed under the name uncultured bacterium. Its description in RNAcentral is "bacterial SSU rRNA". It matches the Rfam family "Bacterial small subunit ribosomal RNA", at positions 525 to 896 of the family's 1533-position model. The record is from RNAcentral.
ACGGGGGGUGCAAGCGUUAUUCGGAAUCAUUGGGCGUAAAGGGCGCGUAGGCGGCCCCUUAAGUCAGAUGUGAAAGCCCUCAGCUUAACUGAGGAAGUGCAUUUGAAACUAAGGGGCUUGAGUAUGGGAGAGGGAAGCGGAAUUCCUGGUGUAGCGGUGAAAUGCGUAGAUAUCAGGAGGAACACCGGUGGCGAAGGCGGCUUCCUGGACCAAUACUGACGCUGAGGCGCGAAGGCGUGGGGAGCAAACAGGAUUAGAUACCCUGGUAGUCCACGCAGUAAACUGUGAACACUAGGUGUAGCGGGUAUUGACCCCUGCUGUGCCGAAGCUAACGCAUUAAGUGUUCCGCCUGGGAAGUACGGUCGCAAGGCUA